CCCCUUGUAGCUCAAUGGAUAGAGCGAAUCCGUCCUAAGGAUGAGAUGGGGGUUCGAUUCCCUCCAAGGGGA
Molecule: transfer RNA, 72 nt
Filed under: bacterium
Lineage: Bacteria
Description: tRNA-Arg
Rfam family: tRNA
About the family: Transfer RNA (tRNA) molecules are approximately 80 nucleotides in length. Their secondary structure includes four short double-helical elements and three loops (D, anti-codon, and T loops).
Source: RNAcentral